GCCUGCAAGAAAAUAGGAUAGGAAUUUUCCCGCGCUUGUGAUGACCAAUCAGCACGCGGCCCUGACCCACAUCCGGGUCCCACAUUCUCCCCAGCACGACUGCAAUGGCGGCAAGUUACGUCCUCACUUGACGAGAGCUCCGGCGCAACAGGUCUAGACUGAUGGUCAGAUCCUAACAGCAAAGAAGGAAAAACCUCUUCAAGAACAAGACAGACAGGCCAAGGAGACAGCCAAGACAGGACCAGGAUUGCGCUGAGCCAAGGCGGGAGCUCUUGCAGACGUAUUGUGCCUUACUUAAA
Branchiostoma floridae (Florida lancelet) is the source of this 299-nucleotide long non-coding RNA. RefSeq lists it as uncharacterized. The transcript has 2 exons. The record is from RefSeq and is a predicted model, not a curated record. NCBI's taxonomy places the organism in Eukaryota, Metazoa, Chordata, Leptocardii, Amphioxiformes, Branchiostomatidae.